UACGUAGGUGGCAAGGGUUGUCCGGAUUUAUUGGGUUUAAAGGGUGCGUAGGCGGCCCUGUAAGUCAGUUGUGAAAUACGGCAGCUUAACUGUCGAGGUGCAAUUGAUACUGCAGGGCUUGAGUACUGAUGAGGUAGGCGGAAUGGACGGUGUAGCGGUGAAAUGCUUAGAGAUCGUCCAGAACACCGAUAGCGAAGGCAGCUUACUAAGGAGUAACUGACGCUGAGGCACGAAAGUGUGGGGAUCAAACAGG
This 253-nucleotide ribosomal RNA is filed under the name uncultured bacterium. Its description in RNAcentral is "partial 16S ribosomal RNA". It matches the Rfam family "Bacterial small subunit ribosomal RNA", at positions 524 to 776 of the family's 1533-position model. The record is from RNAcentral.